GACGAACGCUGGCGGCGUGCCUAAUACAUGCAAGUUGAGCGAUGAAGAUUGGUGCUUGCACCAAUUUGAAGAGCAGCGAACGGGUGAGUAACGCGUGGGGAAUCUGCCUUUGAGCGGGGGACAACAUUUGGAAACGAAUGCUAAUACCGCAUAACAACUUUAAACAUAAGUUUUAAGUUUGAAAGAUGCAAUUGCAUCACUCAAAGAUGAUCCCGCGUUGUAUUAGCUAGUUGGUGAGGUAAAGGCUCACCAAGGCGAUGAUACAUAGCCGACCUGAGAGGGUGAUCGGCCACAUUGGGACUGAGACACGGCCCAAACUCCUACGGGAGGCAGCAGUAGGGAAUCUUCGGCAAUGGACGAAAGUCUGACCGAGCAACGCCGCGUGAGUGAAGAAGGUUUUCGGAUCGUAAAACUCUUUUGGUAGAGAAGAACGUUGGUGAGAGUGGAAAGCUCAUCAAGUGACGGUAACUACCCAGAAAGGGACGGCUAACUACGUG
RNAcentral lists this ribosomal RNA (497 nucleotides) under uncultured bacterium. RNAcentral's name for it is "partial 16S ribosomal RNA". It matches the Rfam family "Bacterial small subunit ribosomal RNA", at positions 28 to 507 of the family's 1533-position model. The record is from RNAcentral.